AACGGCCAUACCAUGCUGAAUAUACCGGUUCUCGUUAGAUCACCGAAGUCAAGCAUCAUUGGGGCGGUCAGUACUUGGGUGGGUGGCACCGCGUGA
Molecule: non-coding RNA, 96 nt
Organism: Caerostris extrusa
Lineage: Eukaryota; Metazoa; Arthropoda; Arachnida; Araneae; Araneidae
Source: the annotation of a GenBank genome assembly